CCGUGAAGACUUUUAAAAUAGAGACCAACGUGGCCGGGCAGGAAGAGCAGGGUCCCGCCUUCAGGUGUUUGGGACUCAGCUGAGGGUGUGGGUGCCCCGCGGUGGGGGCUGAACCUUCCUGGGGUGUGGAGAGACGAAAGGAGCCCAGAUCCAAGUUCCCUCGUUCCCGCUUUGGCAUAAGUUGCCCUGGCGGUCUCAUGAGAGAGAGAAAGAGCUGGGACCCUCCUCGCCCCAGUGAGUGUGAUGUCUUGCUCCGGGUGUCCUGGGGCAACUUUCUAUACAGGCGGGACGUGGGAGGAUCAGACAGUGUAACAUCAGACAAGGGUGUUGACUCUGCAGCACAGAACCAGUAGUUUGUGGAGAAGAAUGGAGGUGUGGUGUUGAAUCUGCUAGACAGGCUACUGAAGCAAAAGUCAAGAGAUCCAGAUUCCAUCAUGGGGACACUUUAGGUAAGUCACU
This 459-nucleotide long non-coding RNA is filed under the name Homo sapiens (human). Its description in RNAcentral is "non-protein coding lnc-BEX3-2:2". The record is from RNAcentral. Lineage: Eukaryota; Metazoa; Chordata; Mammalia; Primates; Hominidae.